RNAcentral lists this unclassified non-coding RNA (467 nucleotides) under Arabidopsis thaliana (thale cress). Its description in RNAcentral is "MIR162b microRNA precursor". The stretch from base 148 to 255 matches the Rfam family "MIR162_1 microRNA precursor family". Lineage: Eukaryota; Viridiplantae; Streptophyta; Magnoliopsida; Brassicales; Brassicaceae. The record is from RNAcentral.
AUCUAUCCACCUCUCUCUGUAAAUUUAUCUAAAUGUUUCUUUUAAUCUUUUUGAGAUUAAUAAUGAUUUGUGUUUGUUCAUCAACCGAUUUUCUCAGAUCUGUCAAUUAUUUUUGUUUAUUUAUUUAUGAUUUAUGAAUGAGGAAAGAGUGAAGUCGCUGGAGGCAGCGGUUCAUCGAUCAAUUCCUGUGAAUAUUUAUUUUUGUUUACAAAAGCAAGAAUCGAUCGAUAAACCUCUGCAUCCAGCGCUGCUUGCUCUUCAUGACUUUUGUUUAAUUGAUAUCUAUUUGAGUAUUGCUGAGAAGCAGGACAAUGGAUUCGAUAAAGUCUUCUCAGCUGCUGAAACUAAAUAUUUAAAAUUUAUCCCAAAUCUAAUUCAAAGUAUUCAUCUUUUAGCUGUUGAGAUAGUGAGGGAAAACAAAAUUCUUGUAUAUGAAAAAAGGAUAAAAUGAAAUUGUUUGUUUGUUA